This 492-nucleotide ribosomal RNA is filed under the name uncultured bacterium. RNAcentral's name for it is "partial 16S ribosomal RNA". It matches the Rfam family "Bacterial small subunit ribosomal RNA", at positions 29 to 507 of the family's 1533-position model. The record is from RNAcentral.
AGUGAACGCUGGCGGUAGGCCUAACACAUGCAAGUCGAACGGCAGCACAGUAAGAGCUUGCUCUUACGGGUGGCGAGUGGCGGACGGGUGAGGAAUACAUCGGAAUCUACUUUUUCGUGGGGGAUAACGUAGGGAAACUUACGCUAAUACCGCAUACGACCUACGGGUGAAAGCAGGGGAUCUUCGGACCUUGCGCGAUUGAAUGAGCCGAUGUCGGAUUAGCUAGUUGGCGGGGUAAAGGCCCACCAAGGCGACGAUCCGUAGCUGGUCUGAGAGGAUGACCAGCCACACUGGAACUGAGACACGGUCCAGACUCCUACGGGAGGCAGCAGUGGGGAAUAUUGGACAAUGGGCGCAAGCCUGAUCCAGCCAUACCGCGUGGGUGAAGAAGGCCUUCGGGUUGUAAAGCCCUUUUGUUGGGAAAGAAAAGCAGCGGGUUAAUACCCCGCUGUUCUGACGGUACCCAAAGAAUAAGCACCGGCUAACUUCGUG